RNAcentral lists this ribosomal RNA (243 nucleotides) under uncultured Staphylococcus sp. Its description in RNAcentral is "partial 16S ribosomal RNA". It matches the Rfam family "Bacterial small subunit ribosomal RNA", at positions 96 to 334 of the family's 1533-position model. The record is from RNAcentral. Lineage: Bacteria; Bacillati; Bacillota; Bacilli; Caryophanales; Staphylococcaceae.
CGGCGGACGGGUGAGUAACACGUGGAUAACCUACCUAUAAGACUGGGAUAACUUCGGGAAACCGGAGCUAAUACCGGAUAAUAUAUUGAACCGCAUGGUUCAAUAGUGAAAGACGGUUUUGCUGUCACUUAUAGAUGGAUCCUCGCCGCAUUAGCUAGUUGGUAAGGUAACGGCUACCAAGGCAACGAUGCGUAGCCGACCUGAGAGGGCGAUCGGCCACACUGGAACUGAGACACGGUCCAG